This 484-nucleotide ribosomal RNA is filed under the name uncultured bacterium. Its description in RNAcentral is "partial 16S ribosomal RNA". It matches the Rfam family "Bacterial small subunit ribosomal RNA", at positions 30 to 507 of the family's 1533-position model. The record is from RNAcentral.
AUUGAACGCUGGCGGCAGGCCUAACACAUGCCAGUCGAGCGGAUGAAGGGAUCUUGCUCCUGGAUUCAGCGGCGGACGGGUGAGUAAUGCCUAUGAAUCUGCCUGGUAGUGUGGGAUAACGUCCGGAAACGGGCGCUAAUACCGCAUACGUCCUGAGGGAGAAAGUGGGGGAUCUUCGGACCUCACGCUAUCAGAUGAUCCUAGGUCGGAUUAGCUAGUUGGUGGGGUAAAGGCCUACCAAGGCGACGAUCCGUAACUGGUCUGAGAGGAUGAUCAGUCACACUGGAACUGAGACACGGUCCAGACUCCUACGGGAGGCAGCAGUGGGGAAUAUUGGACAAUGGGCGAAAGCCUGAUCCAGCAAUGCCGCGUGUGUGAAGAAGGUCUUCGGAUUGUAAAGCACUUUAAGUUGGGAGGAAGGGCAGUAAGUUAAUACCUUGCUGUUUUGACGUUACCAACAGAAUAAGCACCGGCUAACUUCGUG